This is a long non-coding RNA of Hemiscyllium ocellatum (epaulette shark), 2767 nucleotides long. RefSeq lists it as uncharacterized. The record is from RefSeq and is a predicted model, not a curated record. The transcript is spliced from 2 exons. Lineage: Eukaryota; Metazoa; Chordata; Chondrichthyes; Orectolobiformes; Hemiscylliidae.
UUCUCCAACUCCUAUUGCUCAGCAUUUAACCCUUACUAAUGCACCUAACCUGCACAUCCUAUGGUUAAUCCACCCUAACCUAGACAGACGCCAGCCAGACAUCAUAAAUUAACGCAGUUCCAUUUGCCAGCAUUUGGCCCACAUUCUUCCAAACCUUUGCUAUUCACAUAUGCAGAUGCCUUUUAGAUUGUGUCAUUAUUUCAGCCUCCACCACUUCCUCUGGCAGCAGGUUCCACACCUCCACUACCCUCUGUGAGAAAAAAAUUCUGCUCAUUUCCCUUUCCCCAUUCACCUCAGACCUAUGUUCUUCUAGUUCUGGACUCCCCUACCCUGGUGAAAACACCUUGCCCUGAUCCAUGCCCCUUAUAUACUUUUAUAAGGUCACCCUUCAGCCUCUGAUGCUCCAGUGAAAAUAUCCCUGGCCUAUCAGCCUCUCCCUGUACCUCAAACAUUCCAACUCUGUCAACAAGCCUUAUAAAGUUUUCCCACCCCUUUCAAAGUUUCACAACACCUUUCCUAUUGCAGGAAGACCAGAACUGAAUGCAGUAUUCCAAAAGUGGCCUAACCACAUGUCCUGCACAGCCGCAACAGCCUCCCAAAUCCCGUACUCAAUGCUCUGACCCAUAAAGGAAAGCAUACCAAGGUCUCUUUGUUUUGCAACACUCCCCUUAACUGUUCAAGUCCUGCCUGGAUUGAUUGACCAAAACGCAAACCUCACAUUUCUCUAAAUUAAACUCAACCUGCCACUCUUUGGCCGAUCAGCCCAUCCGAUCAAUUCUCAUUUAUAUCUCUUUCCACCCUUAUUCCAGAGAAGCUGAAGAUCUCCAUCCCACACACUCUCCCUCCAUUUUCAGUUUGCUGAACCUAAUCCCAGCUGUACCACAUCCUGAAGGGUCUGGUUCAUGCUGAUUAACAGGGCCAUACUCACCAGGAGGGGGAUCUAAUUGAAACAUACCAAAUACUGAACGACCUGGACAUUGGGAAGAUAUUUCAAUUGGUAAGAGAGACUAGGACCAGAAGACCUUUUAGAAUGGAGAAAAGGAAAAACUUCAGCCAGAGAGUGGUGAAUCUAUGGAAUUCCUUGACACAGAAGGCUGUGGAGGCCAGGUCACUGGGUAUAUUUAAAACUGAGACAGCAAAGGCUAUAACUUCACACUGUGGGACUGUUUGCCAAUUGAGACGCAGACCUGGAUCAACAUUUCCUGAGACUGCUCCUCCCUGGAUUCACUGCCUUUACAUUCAGUUGCUGCGAGUCAACAAUUGAAGCCCACAAUGAAAUAAGAAAUUGAAAAGAGAGUGCCGUACUCCCAGAUGUUAAACAGAGGAAGGAGGUUGCACUCUGGAGUGAAGCUCAAUCUUCAUUCAAAGAGAGAGGUGCAGCAGCAGCUUCAGAAGCUCAUGGGACAACUUCCGCAUUCAGACAAUAGGGGAUGUUCUCAUUGGCAGGAGGACUACUCUCCGUUCGGUCCUCCAAGGCUCCCCAUUGGCUUCUAAAGAAGAUCGCCCCCGUUGCAGCGGACAGCUAGGAGCAUGCGCCGUUCUUGCUGACACCGAGGAGCAUGCGCCGUACACUCGGUGGCAAUGCUGCGAUUACUGACAAAUUUAAGUCUCCAAAUGCCAAUAGGAGAAAAAGAAACGGUAGAACCAAUAUUUCUUUUCCCCCGUGACUCGACCUAACCAAACAUGCUCCUCACUAUUUUUGCUAGUCACCUUGCCUGCACCCCUCAUUAUUUUACAAAUCUCAAUAAGGUCACCCCUCAACCUCCUCCACUCCAGAGAAUAAAGUCUCAGCCUCUCCUUAUAACUCAAACCCUUCAGUCCUGGCAACAUCCUGGUAACUCUUUACCGAACCCUCUCUAAUAGUAUUCUUCCCAUAACAGAGCCACCAGAACUGUACUCUGUUGUAAAAGUGGCCUCACCAACAUCCUGUACAAUUUCAAAACGAUGUCCCAACUCCAACAUUCAACGGUGUGUACAAUGAAGGCAAGUGGGCUAAACAACUCUUAACCACUUAGUCUACCAGUGAUGCAACUUUCAAAGAACUAUGUACCUGAACCAUACCUCCAUGUCUCUGUUCUACAACAUAACCCAGGGCCCUGCCAGUAACUGCAAUUCCUCCCCUUCUUUUUUUAAGCAAAAUACAAUUCCUCACUUUUAUCUAUACCUCUCUCCCGUACACAUGCUCUCUCUCAAACACAGACACACACCACUCAACACUCUCACAGGUUUAUACUCCUCAUACAUUACCAUGCAUGCACACAGGCAAACAUAUACUCUUAGGCAAACUCUCACACACAAAGUCACACACACACACACACUCUGAUGCAUGCACAGACACACACAGGUCAAUGGGGUAAAUUUGCAUUUGCAGAUACAUUCAAUUUUGAUCAAAAAAAGCACACAAUCGGCAGGCAGUCAAUCCAUGUAAUAUUUUGUACAUUCCUACUUUGGAAAUUCAAGAUUGGGAUACAGACAGAGUCAAACCUCACAUUCUUCAUUUACUGAGCUGAGAUGUCACUGAUUUUUAUAAAACCUUAAGUCAUCUCAAGAAUGUGACUCAAAAGUACUUCUGAGCUUUACAUAUUAAUUACAAAACCCACAACCCAUUCUAGAAGAUGAAAGACUAAACCACAAUCUUGAUUUGUUCAAUAUAUCCUAUCAGUAGUAUGACACUGAUCGGUUGCGAUAUGUUCCUGCUCCAUAGCUACCCGAUGAAAGAGCAGCACUAGGAAAGCUACUGCUUCCAAAUAAAUCUGUUGGAUGAUAA